CCCGCGGCAGACCCCACGCGGCCAGGCGCCCCCGCCCGCUGCCCUCUCCUCUCCCAGACCGGCCUCCCCGGCGGGGGCUGUCACCGAGCGUCUGCCACGGCCGGACCCUGCCCCGGGGGAGGAGAGACCAGGGCCGGGGGCGGGAGCCACCCUUGUGCUCGGAGGCCUGGGUUCGGAGCCCAGCUUCUGGGAAUGGUUUCCAGAUCUCCCUGAGUUUCAGUUUCCUCAUCUGUAAACGGGGUGGUGGUGGCUUCGUUCACCUGUUUGAGAGGACAGCAGGAGAGGCGUCCUGAGAAGUCUGUGAAACAGGGAUCACAAGGAGUUGAGGAAGAGAAGGGGUCUCUGACAACCCAUGGAGACUCCUCAGCAGCUCCUCCUCCAGGUCUGCAAGCAACAAAUCCAGUCCCAAAGACACCAGGCCAGGCUCACAAACCCGCUUGCUGAAGGAAGAGAAAGGGGUCCAGGUGUUCCUCGUACUGAGAGGAGUACCGCAGCUUUGUGUCAUCAGUGCCGC
RNAcentral lists this long non-coding RNA (514 nucleotides) under Cercocebus atys (sooty mangabey). RNAcentral's name for it is "lncRNA (ENSCATG00000045458.1)". Lineage: Eukaryota; Metazoa; Chordata; Mammalia; Primates; Cercopithecidae. The record is from RNAcentral.